Molecule: non-coding RNA, 2177 nt
Organism: Tetranychus urticae (two-spotted spider mite)
Lineage: Eukaryota; Metazoa; Arthropoda; Arachnida; Trombidiformes; Tetranychidae
Source: RefSeq, a predicted model, not a curated record
AGCAUGUAAGAAAUCAAAUGAAAACAUCAUCACUGUUUAGUUUCCAACAUUUUAAUUUGGGAAUUACCAAUUUUGUUCAUCUAAUUUGUGUCAAAAUGAUUCUUUAAAUGUUUAAAUUUUCCCGUUUCACCUUUAGCUUAUCAAAUUGACUGUCAACGAAGUAAUUUACUCGUUAACUGCUGUAAACUCAUCUCUAUUUUUUCAAUGUGAGUCUACCAUUGAAAAUAGCUUUUCAAAUCAGGUAUUUGAUGAUUUAAAGGCUGCACUGGAUAAUAUCAAAAUAUUGGGAGAUGGCGACUAUUCUGAGGACCGAUUGAAGGAUGCUAUUGAGCCCAUUCGAUACCGAUUUCCAAGCAAUGUUACUGAUCAACAAAUAUUGGCUGAUUUGAAGACUUUGCUAGCCCAAAUUGAGGCCAAUGAAUUGAUGGAAAAGGAGGAAAAAUUGAAACCUAAAAAGAAAUUCUUUUCGUGUUUAAAUGAUGGCCAGAAAUACACAAUUGACCAAGCGACUGGAAAUUUCAUUUGUGUCUGUAAACCAGGUUACUCAGGAGAAAUUUGUGAAAUUGAUUUAAGUCAUCAAACCACAACCGAAGCUUAUAAUUACGACUCGCUGGACUGCUCUUUGGAUCCAUGUUUAAAUAGUGGCCAAUGUAUUGAGACUAUUGUCUCGAUUACUGAAGGAUUGAUUGAUAAAUCAAUUACUAUUGGUUCAUGUAGAUGUCCACCAGGACUGACGGGCAAAAUAUGUGAAACCAAACUGGUUACAUGUGAUGAUUUACAAAUGGAUCCUUGUCCUGAAGAUCAUAUAUGUAUCACAACUGAUGCAGGUUAUGAAUGUCAACGCUUUUCACGAAAAAAAGGUUAAAUUAAUGACUUAAUUUUGGUCUCUGACAAGCCAUAAAAUUAUCAACACACAAAACAAAUCCAAGACAAAACCAUUUUCUAAACCAUCGUUAACCUCUCCAUAUGAUGACGGAUAUCUUCGAUAUGAUUUACGAUUGAUGAUGUUUUACUUUCCAUUUGAUUUAUGGUUGCUGAUGCCCUUUAAACUCAUGUUUACUAACCUCUUUACUGUUCACCUACUUUACUCUCUCUAACCAUUUAUAGCAUUUCUUGAUGAAAGUACCAGAAAAGGAAUGAAAAACUCAGAGAUGACUAGACAUUUAAAAGAUUUGAAUGAAUUUGUUGUUUCAGUUUAUCUCUUUCUUAUUCAUCUUCUGUCCGUUUGAUAGUUUUCCUCUUGAAAUUUAUGAUGCUACAAAAAGAAAAUAUUUUUGUUGCUUUUUCCUUCUAAUAUAAUUUCUCUCUCAGUAUGACAAUUUUCUUAGUGAUGACAGGUAACUUUGACUCUUUUUCAAUCUCGUUUUGAUAUCCUCAUUGUUGGUAGAAAGUUUCUUAUUCCAUGAAACCAUUCUCAUGACCAUUCUCACAAAUUGGCUUAGCAAUCAAAAAAUAGCUGUCUGUCUUAUCAUCAUUUUCAUCUUUAGCUUAUUCUCCCAUUUUAUUACCAAUGAAAGAAGACUCCCAAAGAAUUGCUUUCUUUUUCUCUCUCUCUCUUUCUCUUCCUUUCGUUUCCAUCUCUCAUCUUCAUCACCUUGAAAUAAUGACAGGCUCAAUAUUUAGCAUAUUUCCUCUUUUAGUUUUAACAGUUAUUUCAUCUUCUCACCCUUGUCUAGUAAUUGUCAAAAUUAAAUGAUUUUUAGUGAUCCACUUUUUUUUAUAUUUCCCAUUAACCAUUGUUGAUCGUCAUUUCUUGGUAAAAUAGGCAUCAGAUUUAGUCUAUUUUGAUGUUUCUAUCACUUUCAUAUUACUCUACUGAAUAUAAUGUGUUGGGAGAUAAACAAGAGCAGAUGAAAAUUUUUUUAUUCAACCCCAAACAUAUUAUUGUAGACCUUACUUGAAUAUAUUGCUUUCUAUUUCAGCCAAUCAUAAAUCAAAUCAAAUUUAAUUGAUGUUGUACCAAAGUUGACACCUCACGGAAGCUUUAACCAUAAUUUUACUCAACAAAAAUCAUUUUUAUCAACUUUCCUCUGAUUUUGAAUCAUCAUCAUCAUCAUCGUCUUUUCUAAUCCAUUCCUAUGUUGCGAUAUAAAUUCAUUUUUAUAUCUUUGUCUUUGACUCUACCUUUCUUAAUGGAAUAAAAAGAACAAUAAAAAAGGCAAAUUAGCCCCUGUUAA